RNAcentral lists this transfer RNA (67 nucleotides) under Polycentropus flavomaculatus. RNAcentral's name for it is "tRNA-His". The record is from RNAcentral. Lineage: Eukaryota; Metazoa; Arthropoda; Insecta; Trichoptera; Polycentropodidae.
AUUUAAAUAGUUUAUAAAAAAAAUUUUGGUUUGUGAUAUCAAAGAAAAUAAUUCUUAUUUUUAAAUU